AUGAUCAAAAUGCCUACAGACCUGUUUUUGCCUUUUCAAUAUGGGGUUCUGUGUGCAGAUAGAUGAGGAAAAAUACAAAUGUAAUCCAAUUUUGAACAAGUCUGUAACGUAACAAAAUGUGGAAGAAGUUAAGUGGGCUGAAUACUUUCCGAAGGCUCUGUAACUCUCAAUCCACAGUAUAGCAGGGGGUGUCGAGCCAUAAGAUAUACAUUUUUCCAGCAGCAUACAGUGUGUAGCCAUUGAGAUGUUUGUCAUCAUGUUUACCAUCAUGUUUACCAUGUUUACCAUAAUGUUUACCAAAGGUUUUCACACUGUACAGUGCUGCUCAGACAUCUUCCUCUCAUCUGUCCCGGCUGUGAUGUGCUCAGCAGGAUGUUUUUUGCUCUGCACUGUGUGUCUGCUCCUCUCAGGCUGCACUCGGCUCCUUGAAUGAGGGCGUCCGCUGAACAAAGGAGGCCUUAACAAUAGUGACAAUCAUUAUUAUGGAACGCAGAGAGAGAGGACGAGGUAGAUAACCUAGUUGAAGCAAGCAGGGAGCGGGUUCCAUGGUUAUAGAGCUGUGGAGAGAGAGGCAGGAGCUCCCAGUCUGGUUGUAAUUUACAGGAGAGCAGGUAGCAGUCAAGGAACCUCACUUCCUGAUGAUGUCACUUUCUGAGUAGGACACCCCCCACAUUUACAUAAGUAUUCUGACCCAGGACUGGCCUCCAGCUCCAGUAGCAGGAAAUGGUGUGUUUAGUCUUGGCCAGAACAUUGUUGUUUUCUCUGCCUCAGUAAACAGACAGCUGGAUAAUGUGGAGGAUGUAUGACAUGUUUACUGUGUAAUUUUGGGUUUAUCUGUUAUCGGUUAGGGCACCUACAGAGCAAAUUAAUAAUGUAGUUUAAUAAUGUUCUCAUGUAAUAAUGGAGGUUAGUUCUGUAAUAUAUAAUUGUGAUUGUAAACAUCUCAGGAUACGUCUCUCUCUCGCUCUCUCCAUCUCUCCCUCACUCUCUCUCAACAUCUCUGUGUUUCUCUGCCUCUCUCCCAUGAAUGUAAACAUUGUUAGGGCUACUGAUUUCAAGUGUCAGGGAGAGAGAAGAGAGUUUUUACACUAAUGUUGCUAUGACUGUAGCAGCUGCUGAGAGCGUUCUACUGUCUGACAGGACAAUAUUAGUGUAAAAACUCUCUUCUCUCUCCCUGACACUUGAAAUCAGUAGCCCUAACAAUGUUUACAUUCAUGGGAGAGAGGCAGAGAAACACAGGGAUGUUGAGAGAGAGUGAGGGAGAGUGAGGGAGAGUGAGGGAGGGAGGGAUGGGAAGAGAGAGAGAGCGAAAGAAAGAGAGAAGUAGCAUCGCCAUGAGGUGUUUACAAUCACAAUCACAUAUUACAGAACUAGCCUACAUUAUUACAUGAGAACAUUAUUAAACUACAUUAUUUAUUUGCUCUGUAGGUGCCCUAACCGAUAACAGAUAAACCCAAUAUUACACAGUAAACAUGUCAUACAUCCUCCACAUUAUCCAGCUGUCUGUUUACUGAGGCAGAGAAAACAACAAUGUUCUGGCCAAGACUAAACACAUAAUUUCCUGCUACUGGAGCUGGAGGCCAGUCCUGCUGCAGGAAGGAAUGGAUCUGAGUUCCCUGAAAGCAGUACAGUAACUUUCCCUUUUACUCCCUAGAAGAUCAUUGUUCUUCUUCUUUCCUCUAACUGGUUUCAGUGUUACACAAAGACACAGCCCCUGAAGGCAGACAGCAAUCUGAGUCUUAAAGCCACUUUUCUUCCCUCCAUUACUGGACCACAUGUCAGAGUCCAGUGGUCCUCUGGGUGAAACUGGAUCCCAGCAGAUUAAGAGAUCUAAUCCAGCCAUGUUGAAUCACAAAGGAACAUCCGGAAAUGUUUAGAGAGAUAAUUUAGACGACUCCACUGCCAGCUAGUCACGAGAACGAGGGGGGGGGGGGGGGGGGGGGGACCUCCCAAAUCAUCCCCUCUACCACUCCAUCCCUCUACCCUCUGA
Oncorhynchus mykiss (rainbow trout) is the source of this 1990-nucleotide long non-coding RNA. The record is from Ensembl. Lineage: Eukaryota; Metazoa; Chordata; Actinopteri; Salmoniformes; Salmonidae.